This 86-nucleotide small RNA is filed under the name Buttiauxella agrestis ATCC 33320. RNAcentral's name for it is "sroD RNA". It matches the Rfam family "sroD RNA". Rfam says of the family: This family consists of a number of bacterial sroD RNA genes of around 90 bases in length. sroD is found in several Enterobacterial species but its function is unknown. The record is from Rfam by way of RNAcentral. Lineage: Bacteria; Pseudomonadati; Pseudomonadota; Gammaproteobacteria; Enterobacterales; Enterobacteriaceae.
CUACGUGACGAAUCGGUCAGUAAAGGCAACAAUAACGCCUGAGCUCCGAGUCAGUCGCCCUAACGCCGGUUCGCCGGCGUUUUUUA